UCAAAAUUGAGGGGGUGUAAGUUGAAGGAAGAGUGUACGCGUUAGUAAAAGGCUAUGGGUCAUAGCUUGGUGGCACAAGAGUUAGACUCGGAAGGGGAAACAGUCACUUAUUCCACGCCAUUCAUCCAGAAUCACUCUUCACCUUAGGCUUAUCGGGAAUCGCUCUACCGCACCAGAAAUCACCUCUGGCGGCGGCGGAGCCCAGAACACCACCAACACACUCAUCUCAACAUCCUAUUUCCAUUCUUGCACCCUAAUUUCAAUGAAACUCAACCAAAACCCUUAUUCUAACUCAAGAACGUAAAACCCUAAAAAUUUCAAACAACAAUUAAAUAGCGAAGGUUCAUGAAUUCAGAGCAAGACCUUAGGGUAUGCUUCAACAACAACAGUUAUACGCUAUGGUAACAACAAUGGUGCAAGAAAAUGAAGAACAAUGCAUGUCGCGUUUACCUAUAUGGAAGAUAUUGGCCCUGGUGUUUAUAGGUAUUGAAGAAGAUAAUGAAGAAAACCAGAGAAUCAAAGUCACGUGUUCAGGUUGUGUGGUUGCAUUGUUAAUGUAUUUGUCAAGGUUCAAUGGUCAUUGUGUAUUUCUUGGGUGAACUCACAUUGUACUUGAAUGGUCGUGGACUGUUUUAAUAUGUGAAUUGUCAUGGCUUGGCUAAUGUAUGUCCAUGAUGCAUAUUGGUUUUUGGAUGGAAAUAUGAGUUACUUCAUGGUUGCUCUAUAUGGUUCAUGUAUGCAUUGAAGCUUGGUUAAGGUCAUGGAGUAUGCAUUAUGGUCAUAAAGCAUAUUUGGUUGUACUUGAAGGAAAUGAAGCAUUGAUCAUGAUUAUUGGUUAAAUGGAGGGUCGUGAUGAAGAUGAAAAAGGAUAUAUCUAGGGAAAAGUCUGACUUUGGUCAACUAUUUGACCAAAAAAGUCAACUAUAGGUCAAACUGAGGAUUUUUUCAUGUAAUUUCAAAUUUGAUUUUUGUAAUGUAUUUUGGACAUUUUGAAUAUGAAUUUUGGCUUUGUAUGGUUGAUGUUUAACCUUGUAACUUAUUCUUCAAGUAAUGAAAUUUUUCCAUCCAUUUUGUAAA
This is a long non-coding RNA of Lathyrus oleraceus (garden pea), 1077 nucleotides long. RefSeq lists it as uncharacterized. NCBI's taxonomy places the organism in Eukaryota, Viridiplantae, Streptophyta, Magnoliopsida, Fabales, Fabaceae. The record is from RefSeq and is a predicted model, not a curated record. The transcript has 2 exons.